AAUUGAACCAUUUGUCACUAUGAAAUGACCUUGUUUAUUGCUGGUAAUAUUUUUGCUGUGAAAUGUACUUUGGUAUUAAUACAACCACUCUUCCUCAGCCUUCUUUUGUAGUGUUAGUGUGAUAUACCUUGUUUCAUCUUUUAACCAAUUUUUGUCUUUAUAUUUAAAGUUUACUUCUUAUACUCAUUAUACAGAUAAGACUUGCUCUUUUAUCCAUUCUGAUAAUCUGCCUUUGAGCAGAGGUUUUUAGACCAGUUUAAUUUAUAAUGUAAUUAUUGAUAUGAUUAGAGUUGUCUGUCAUCACACUGUUUGAUUUCUAUUAGUCUCAGAUCUUCUUUGCUUUGCUUUUUUCCUUUUCUGCUUCCUUCAGACUAGUUUAGUAAUUUUUAUGAUUUAGUUACAUAUCUGUAUAUGCAUAACUUUUUAAGUUAUUAAUCUAGUUUUACAUUUCUUUACAAUUUAGUCAUAUCUUUUUUGGUAUAAGUUUAUUUGGUAUUAGGUAUAACUAUUUGCUGUCUUAGUAGUUGCUUUAGGAUUUAUAAUGUAUGAAUUUACCUCAUCACAAUCCACCUUCAAGUAAUAUUAUAUCAUAUCAUAGAUGGUAUAAGAAAUUACAAUCAUAUUUUCAUUUCUUUUCUAUCAACCAGAUCCCAGCCUAGAUCUGUGGGAUUAUGGCUUUUGUUAAGUUUAGAACAUAUUUAGCCAACUUUUCCUCAAAUUUUUGAUUCUGCCUCUCCUCCUACCUCUUUGGGGACUUAUAUACUACCUGCUGGAAGUUUGCUCAUAGUUCACUAGUGUCUCAAAUUUGUGAAUCUUUUCUUUCAUGAUGGCGAAUUAAUCUAUGCUCAUAUCUACUCAGUGUAGCUUUCAUCUCCAGCAUUGUAAUUUGUAUCUCUAAAAGUGCAAUUUGGUUUUUAAAAGUAUCUUCUAUUGCUUUAUUUAUCUUCUUGAUUUUUAUAGUAGAAUAGAGUUGAGUUACUUAUAAACAGCUUGAUCCUUUUCAUUUUUCUUUUUAUGGUGUGAGCUAACUCCCCAUACCUGAGACAAGGCCUUUCUGAGUAUUCAUUUUCCUGUGAAGUCUGAGUUUUCCCAGGCAAAUCUAUAAAAACAGACACUCUUCUUGGCACUGUAUGAGCACCAGGUGUGAUUUCCUCUAAUUUUAUAAGCCAACCCCCACCCCCACCCGGUUUGUUCUUAGGUAGUUUUCUAUCUCACAUGCAAUUUUCAAAAUUUUGCUAAAUACUGACAGGGGGUUUCUUGCCGUUUCUCUCUCUCCUCCUCAGUGUUUGUUCUGUAAUAUCUGCCUGCUUUGGUUUUACCAGACUCUAAGCUUCAUCAGUGUAACCAAGAGAGUCUGGUAGAUCCCACCUCAGUUUUUUCUUCCUGUGUCAUGUCUCGGAAUCUCUGCCAAGACAGGAAGCUGAAACAUUCAUAAGGUUUGCUUUCUUUUGUUUUUUUAUUUUCUGUUUUUCAGGGAUUAUUAUCUUCUUUGCCUAAUGUCCAGUAUCUGAAAAAUUGUUUAAUGUAUUUUGUGUGUUUUGAUUUUAGUUAUUUUAGCUAAGAAGAAAAAUCAUACCUGUUGCUCUCCCUUGGCUAGAGGAAGACUACACUAGAGUUUCAGCACAUGCCACAGACUGGCUAAAAUGCUUUCCUUCCCUGUUUGCUCAACUGCUUCCUUUUCAUUCUUCAUUCCUCAGUGUAGCUAUACAUCCCUCGGGGGAAUUUUCCAUGAGCCUAGUAUAGAUUUAAAUCUUAGCAAUCUGUUUUCUUAACAGUAUUUAUCUGAAUUUAUAACUGUCACUUUUCUGGGGCUUUGUCUUUUAGCACAUUUUAAGUUAAACAAAUGCAGAGGUUUUUGUUUUUUUCUGUUUAAUCUGCAGAGCUUAGUAUAAUGCCUUCCACGUGGCAGGCAUUCAAUAUAUAUUUGAUCAGUGUAUGAAUUAGUGAUUGUUAAAAUAUGCAGUUCUCUACAUCCCAAAAGUACUAAUACAUUUUAUUUCUAUCUCCUCCUUGAGACAGAUUCAACUAGCCUAUCAAAAAUCUUGGAUGCAGUUCUUUCUUGUGAAAGAGCAAGGGAACUUAAAAAAUAUCCCUGUGGGCCAGGCGCCAUGGCUCACGCCUGUAAUCUCAUCACUUUGGGAGGCCAAGGCGGGCAGAUCAUGAGAUCAGGAGAUCAAGACCAUCCUGGCUAACACAGUGAAACCCCGUCUCUACUAAAAAUACAAAAAAAAAAAUUAGCCAGGCGUGGUGGCAGGUGACUGUAGUCCCAGCUACUCGGGAGGCUGAGGCAGGAGAAUGGCAUGAACCCGGGAGGCAGAGCUUGCAGUGAGUGGAGAUCGCACCACUGCACUCCAGCCUAGGCAACAGAGCGAGACUCCGUCAAAAAAAAAAAAAAAGGAAAAAAAAAUCCCUGUGAACAACUUACAGCAAAAAUGAAACAAAUGAAAAAUAAGCUUCGUGUACUACAAAAGGAACUAACAGAAGCAAAAGAAAUAAAAUCAUAGAGAAUCAAAAACUUAAAAGAGAACAAGAGCUCUGCAGUGUGAGAUUGACUUUAAACCAAGAAGAAGAGAAGAGAAGAAAUGCCAAUAUAUUAAAUGAAAAAAUUAGGGAAGAAUUAGGAAAAAUCGAAGAGCAACAAAAGAAAAAGUUAAAAGUGAAGCAACUUGAGCUCACUCUCCGAAUAUACAAAAUAUGGAAUUGAAGACUGUAAGAAGUAAUUUGAAUCAGCUCAAUCAAUCACUGGUAAAAAUUUUAUAUUUCUAACUUUAUUUCAUCAAUAUUACUUUUAAUAUCCCUUCGAUUUAGUAUGUAUUAUUCAGAAUUAUGAUAAUGCCGCUAUAAUAUUUAGGUACAAACUUUUGUAUAUUUCAUUCAUAAGUUUUCAUUUCUUUCGGGUAUGUACCUAGGAAUGGAAUUGCUGGGUCAUAAGGUACCUAUGCAUAACCUUUUCAGCAAUCACCUCACAGUUUUCCAAUAUGUGCACUAUUUUACUUUCCCACCAGCGAUGUAUGAAAGAUCUAAUUUCUCUACGGCCUCACCAGGGUGGAGUGCAGUGGCGCACUCUCAGCUCACUGCAAGCUCCAACUCCCGGGUUCACGCCAUCCUCCUGCCUCAGCCUCCCGAGAAGCUGGGACUAUGGGCGCCUGCCACCAUGCCCGGCUAAUUUUUUGUAUUUUUUAGUAGAGAUGGGGUUUCACCAUGUUAGCCAGGAUGGUCUUGAUCUCCUGACCUCGUGAUCCGCCCACCUCAGCCUCCCAAAGUGCUGGGAUUACAGGCGUGAGCCACUGUGCCCAACCAUUUGUCAUUUUUUAUUGUGGGUACACUAGUGGGUGUUAAGUGAUAUCUGCUUAUGGUUUUGAAUUUGCAUUUUCUUGAUGGCUUGUGAUGUUAGGCUUUUCUUCAAGCCCUUAUUGGACGCUCUUAUAUCUUCUUCACAAAAAUGUCUAUUUAAAUAUUUUGUCUAUUUUUAUGUAUUUUUUGUUGUUGUUGUUGAGUUGUAAAAGUUAUUUGUGCAUUUUGGAUACAGAUUUCUAAUCAAAUAUAUAAGUUGCAAACAUUUUAUCCA
This is a long non-coding RNA of Pan troglodytes (chimpanzee), 3568 nucleotides long. RefSeq lists it as uncharacterized. Lineage: Eukaryota; Metazoa; Chordata; Mammalia; Primates; Hominidae. The transcript is spliced from 2 exons. The record is from RefSeq and is a predicted model, not a curated record.